RNAcentral lists this ribosomal RNA (699 nucleotides) under uncultured bacterium. RNAcentral's name for it is "bacterial SSU rRNA". It matches the Rfam family "Bacterial small subunit ribosomal RNA", at positions 57 to 748 of the family's 1533-position model. The record is from RNAcentral.
GCAGUCGACGGUAACAGAAGCAGCUUGCUGCUUUGCUGACGAGUGGCGGACGGGUGAGUAAUGUCUGGGAAACUGCCUGAUGGAGGGGGAUAACUACUGGAAACGGUAGCUAAUACCGCAUAACGUCGCAAGACCAAAGAGGGGGACCUUCGGGCCUCUUGCCAUCGGAUGUGCCCAGAUGGGAUUAGCUUGUUGGUGGGGUAACGGCUCACCAAGGCGACGAUCCCUAGCUGGUCUGAGAGGAUGACCAGCCACACUGGAACUGAGACACGGUCCAGACUCCUACGGGAGGCAGCAGUGGGGAAUAUUGCACAAUGGGCGCAAGCCUGAUGCAGCCAUGCCGCGUGUAUGAAGAAGGCCUUCGGGUUGUAAAGACCUUUCAGCGGGGAGGAAGGGAGUAAAGUUAAUACCUUUGCUCAUUGACGUUACCCGCAGAAGAAGCACCGGCUAACUCCGUGCCAGCAGCCGCGGUAAUACGGAGGGUGCAAGCGUUAAUCGGAAUUACUGGGCGUAAAGCGCACGCAGGCGGUUUGUUAAGUCAGAUGUGAAAUCCCCGGGCUCAACCUGGGAACUGCAUCUGAUACUGGCAAGCUUGAGUCUCGUAGAGGGGGGUAGAAUUCCAGGUGUAGCGGUGAAAUGCGUAGAGAUCUGGAGGAAUACCGGUGGCGAAGGCGGCCCCCUGGACGAAGACUGACGCUC